GACAGGGGUCUCGAGCGUUAAUCGGAAUUACUGGGCUUAAAGGGUGCGUAGGCCGGCCCGCAAGUGACUUGUGAAAUCCCCCGGCUCAACCGGGGAACUGCUCGUCAUACUGCGGGUCUUGAGGAAGGUAGGGGUUGCCAGAACUGUAGGUGGAGCGGUGAAAUGCGUAGAUAUCUACAGGAAUGCCGAUGGUGAAGACGGGCAACUGGGCCUUUCCUGACGCUGAGGCACGAAAGCGUGGGGAGCAAACAGG
Molecule: ribosomal RNA, 253 nt
Filed under: uncultured bacterium
Lineage: Bacteria
Description: partial 16S ribosomal RNA
Rfam family: Bacterial small subunit ribosomal RNA
Source: RNAcentral